RNAcentral lists this ribosomal RNA (431 nucleotides) under uncultured bacterium. RNAcentral's name for it is "bacterial SSU rRNA". It matches the Rfam family "Bacterial small subunit ribosomal RNA", at positions 958 to 1392 of the family's 1533-position model. The record is from RNAcentral.
AACGCGAAGAACCUUACCAAGGCUUGACAUAUAGCGAAAAGUGGCAGAGAUGUCAUGUCCGCAAGGGCGCUAUACAGGUGGUGCAUGGUUGUCGUCAGCUCGUGUCGUGAGAUGUUGGGUUAAGUCCCGCAACGAGCGCAACCCUCGUUCUGUGUUACCAGCAUUAAGUUGGGGACUCACAGGAGACUGCCGGGGUCGACUCGGAGGAAGGUGGGGAUGACGUCAAAUCAUCAUGCCCCUUAUGUCUUGGGCUGCACGCAUGCUACAAUGGCCGGUACAAAGUGCUGCGAAAUCGUAAGAUUUAGCGAAUCACAUAAAGCCGGUCUCAGUUCGGAUUGAGGUCUGCAACUCGACCUCAUGAAGUCGGAGUUGCUAGUAAUCGUAGAUCAGCAACGCUACGGUGAAUACGUUCCCGGGUCUUGUACACACCG